AUGUCGACCGACGCCGACCGUGCCGCCGCUGAGAAGGCCGAGGCUGACAAGAAGGCCGCCGAGGAUGCCGCGGCUGCUGCCACCGUCACCGCCGCCGCGUGGACGAUUGGAGGGUAUACAUCGCUUAUCCCUCUCGUGUUUCUUUCUGUUGUAGCAGUACUAGCGAUAUGCGUAGAUGUUUCUACUAUGUGCGUAGUACAUGCUCUGUUAGAUCGUAAUCAGUGUGUUAUCAAUGCUGUUCAUGUCAUGCUCAUGAUUUAUUCAUGGACUAAUUUAAUCGAAAAACUGCCUAUUUAUUCAUCAGAGGCAGGGGCAUCCUUUCUUGGUCUGCAGCUUUCACCUCUGUUGCUUCAGAUAGCGGCACAAGUGGAGCAGGAGGCUACAAUUGAUUUUAUACUAUGGCCUGUCGUGGAUAAUCGGUGCAUGGUAGGAAGAACAAUGGCAAAACGAGGACGGACUGAAGGCAGCGGAUUCCGUGUUGGUCGGAGAGGAAGACAUUGUCUUUAUCUAAGUGCCUCCUGCAACCAUCUCCUUGUAGCCUCAGAUAAUGACUUCAGAUGGAGAGGGCCGUAUAAAUGGCAUGCCAGGGAGCCACCAUUACCUAUGUUCGGGUUGGUUACCAUAAUCAAAUCCUUUUUUGCCCUUCUAAAUUAG
This 654-nucleotide ribosomal RNA is filed under the name Triticum aestivum (bread wheat). RNAcentral's name for it is "partial small subunit ribosomal RNA". The record is from RNAcentral. Lineage: Eukaryota; Viridiplantae; Streptophyta; Magnoliopsida; Poales; Poaceae.